This is a ribosomal RNA of Cricetulus griseus (Chinese hamster), 119 nucleotides long. The record is from Ensembl. NCBI's taxonomy places the organism in Eukaryota, Metazoa, Chordata, Mammalia, Rodentia, Cricetidae.
GUCUGUAGCUAUACCACCCUGAACAUGUCCAAUCUCUUCUGAUCUCGGAAACUAAAUAGGGUCAAGCCUCAUUAGUACUUGGAUGGGAGACUGCCAGAGAAUACCAGGUGCUGUAGGCU